RNAcentral lists this ribosomal RNA (452 nucleotides) under Enterococcus faecium. Its description in RNAcentral is "partial 23S ribosomal RNA". It matches the Rfam family "Bacterial large subunit ribosomal RNA", at positions 1069 to 1527 of the family's 2925-position model. Lineage: Bacteria; Bacillati; Bacillota; Bacilli; Lactobacillales; Enterococcaceae. The record is from RNAcentral.
AACGAAGUGGGAAGGCUAAAACAGUCAGGAGGUUGGCUUAGAAGCAGCCACCCUUUAAAGAAAGCGUAAUAGCUCACUGAUCGAGUCGUCCUGCGCGGAAGAUGUAACGGGGCUAAGCUAUAUACCGAAGCUGCGGAUGCGUGCUUAGCACGCAUGGUAGGAGAGCGUUCCGUAAGCCUGCGAAGGUGCCUUGUAAAGGGUGCUGGAGGUAUCGGAAGUGCGAAUGCUGACAUGAGUAGCGAUAAAGGGGGUGAAAGGCCCCCUCGCCGUAAGCCCAAGGUUUCCUACGCAACGUUCAUCGGCGUAGGGUGAGUCGGCCCCUAAGGCGAGGCAGAAAUGCGUAGCUGAUGGGAAGCAGGUCAAUAUUCCUGCACCAUUGUUAGAUGCGAUGGGGGGACGGAUCGCGGAAGGUUGUCCGGGUGUUGGAAGUCCCGGUCGCUGCAUUGGAGAAG